RNAcentral lists this long non-coding RNA (831 nucleotides) under Chinchilla lanigera (long-tailed chinchilla). Its description in RNAcentral is "lncRNA (ENSCLAG00000027818.1)". The record is from RNAcentral. Lineage: Eukaryota; Metazoa; Chordata; Mammalia; Rodentia; Chinchillidae.
AUAGACUUAUAGUACUUGUUGGUCAGUUCCUUGGUAAAAUUCCUUUUGUUAAUCUCAGUGCUUCCACUGAAACAGAGGGGAGAGGAGGAAUAAUUUUACAAGAGAAACAGAGUCUCACUACCAAAGUCACAGCAUCUCUUGAGCAAGCCAACAGGACUGAGCAGAAUGGAAGGGAAGGGAAGGUGAUGAAGUGAACCUCCAGGGGGCAGUAGAGUCCACGCGCUGCGUGGGCAUUUCCUCUGCAGUUCUAGAACCAAUCAUCGGUUAGGACAUACUCAGCCUGGUGCUAAAGUAGGGAUCCAGUUAAUGGGAAGAACUAAAAAGAACUCUACACUGGGAAAGAAAGUAGCAGUGGAGCAGGCUACCAGUCGGUAGGAAACGGGAAGGAAACGGACCUCUGAGACCAUGGAGAUGGACAGGGAAAAUAAUGCAUACUGAUGUUUAUCUUUAAAUUUCACUGGAGGAGGAAGAGGCGGUGACUGGCGGGCCUGGGACCUAGGCAUCUCAGAAGCAUCUAAAAGCAACACUAGUCCCGCAUCAAAAUAAAGCCUGUUACAAGACUGACAACUUUCAGGCUCAAGCUGCUGUUCAGGGAAAAGUAUACUUUUUCACUUUCAAUUCGUGAGGAGCACGCCAUAGGUUUGCCACCACUGCCCUGGAGUGAGGAUCAAAACCCCCUCGUCUUUCCCCCUAGCCCGGGAGCGAUGGAGCCAGGAUGGGGAGCGAAGGGCGAAGAUCAGCCCACUUCCUGGCCACCUCUUCGUGGUCUCUGCAGAAAUUCCUUCUGCUCCUGCUCCUCCACACCCUGUCAGGGUUUUUUUUUCUCUGUUU